RNAcentral lists this ribosomal RNA (717 nucleotides) under Limosilactobacillus reuteri. RNAcentral's name for it is "bacterial SSU rRNA". It matches the Rfam family "Bacterial small subunit ribosomal RNA", at positions 1 to 673 of the family's 1533-position model. Lineage: Bacteria; Bacillati; Bacillota; Bacilli; Lactobacillales; Lactobacillaceae. The record is from RNAcentral.
UUUAUAUGAGAGUUUGAUCCUGGCUCAGGAUGAACGCCGGCGGUGUGCCUAAUACAUGCAAGUCGUACGCACUGGCCCAACUGAUUGAUGGUGCUUGCACCUGAUUGACGAUGGAUCACCAGUGAGUGGCGGACGGGUGAGUAACACGUAGGUAACCUGCCCCGGAGCGGGGGAUAACAUUUGGAAACAGAUGCUAAUACCGCAUAACAACAAAAGCCACAUGGCUUUUGUUUGAAAGAUGGCUUUGGCUAUCACUCUGGGAUGGACCUGCGGUGCAUUAGCUAGUUGGUAAGGUAACGGCUUACCAAGGCGAUGAUGCAUAGCCGAGUUGAGAGACUGAUCGGCCACAAUGGAACUGAGACACGGUCCAUACUCCUACGGGAGGCAGCAGUAGGGAAUCUUCCACAAUGGGCGCAAGCCUGAUGGAGCAACACCGCGUGAGUGAAGAAGGGUUUCGGCUCGUAAAGCUCUGUUGUUGGAGAAGAACGUGCGUGAGAGUAACUGUUCACGCAGUGACGGUAUCCAACCAGAAAGUCACGGCUAACUACGUGCCAGCAGCCGCGGUAAUACGUAGGUGGCAAGCGUUAUCCGGAUUUAUUGGGCGUAAAGCGAGCGCAGGCGGUUGCUUAGGUCUGAUGUGAAAGCCUUCGGCUUAACCGAAGAAGUGCAUCGGAAACCGGGCGACUUGAGUGCAGAAGAGGACAGUGGAACUCCAUG